AGCAGCCGCGGUAAUUCCAGCUCCAAUAGCGUAUAUUAAAGUUGUUGCAGUUAAAAAGCUCGUAGUUGAAUUUCGGGAUCAAUUAAUUGGUCGUGCCUCUGGUACGUACUGAUUUUAUUGGUUUCUCCCUUCUGACGAACCAUGAUGUCAUUAAUUUGGUGUCGUGGAGAAUCAGGACUGUUACUUUGAAAAAAUUAGAGUGUUUAAAGCAAGCUAACGCUUGAAUACAUUAGCAUGGAAUAAUGGAAUAGGACGUUUGAUCCUAUUUUGUUGGUUUCUAGGAUCGACGUAAUGAUUAAUAGGGAUAGUUGGGGGCAUUAGUAUUCAAUUGUCAGAGGUGAAAUUCUUGGAUUUAUUGAAGACUAACUACUGCGAAAGCAUUUGCCAAGGAUGUUUUCAUUAAUCAAGAACGAAAGUUAGGGGGAUCGAAGACGAUCAGAUACCGUCGUAGUCUUAACCAUAAACUAUGCCGACUAGGGAUCGGAUGAUGUUAAUUUUUAAUGACUCAUUCGGCGCCUUA
RNAcentral lists this ribosomal RNA (520 nucleotides) under uncultured Glomus. Its description in RNAcentral is "SSU rRNA". It matches the Rfam family "Eukaryotic small subunit ribosomal RNA", at positions 569 to 1090 of the family's 1831-position model. Lineage: Eukaryota; Fungi; Glomeromycota; Glomeromycetes; Glomerales; Glomeraceae. The record is from RNAcentral.